Molecule: ribosomal RNA, 500 nt
Filed under: uncultured bacterium
Lineage: Bacteria
Description: bacterial SSU rRNA
Rfam family: Bacterial small subunit ribosomal RNA (bases 1-329)
Source: RNAcentral
GGGGAAGGGCAGCUUGCUACCUGACCGAGCGGCGGCCGGGUGAGUAAUGCUUAGGAAUCCGCCUAUCAGUGGGGGACAACAUUCCGAAAGGAACGCUAAUACCGCAUACGCCCUGCGGGGGAAAGCAGGGGAUCUCCGGACCUUGCGCUAACAGAUGAGCCUAAGUCAGAUCAGCUAGUGGGGGGGGUAAAGGCCUACCAAGGCGACGAUCUGUAGCGGGUCCGAGAGGAUGAUCCGCCACACUGGGACUGAGACACGGCCCAGACUCCUACGGCAGGCAGCAGAGGGGAAUAUCAGGACAAUGGGCGAAAGCCCUGAUCCAGCCACGCACGCGUGCGAGAAGAAGGCCCCACGGAUCGAAAAGCACUUUUAAGCCAGGAGGACGCCUACCGAGAAUGAAAAACCCCUAGGAGAGGGGACGGUACCCCGGCACGAACAAAGCACCGGGCUAACCUCUGGUGCCACGCACGCCCGGGGCAAAACCACGACGGGCCGCCAAC